GGUUAAGCGACUAAGCGUACACGGUGGAUGCCCUGGCAGUCAGAGGCGAUGAAGGACGUGCUAAUCUGCGAAAAGCGUCGGUAAGGUGAUAUGAACCGUUAUAGCCGGCGAUGUCCGAAUGGGGAAACCCAGUGUGAUUCGUCACACUAUCGUUAACUGAAUACAUAGGUUAACGAGGCGAACCGGGGGAACUGAAACAUCUAAGUACCCCGAGGAAAAGAAAUCAACCGAGAUUCCCCCAGUAGCGGCGAGCGAACGGGGAGCAGCCCAGAGUCUGAAUCAGCUUGUGUGUUAGUGGAACGGUCUGGAAAGUCCGACGGUACAGGGUGAUAGUCCCGUACACCAAAAUGCACAGGUUGUGAACUCGAAGAGUAGGGCGGGACACGUGGUAUCCUGUCUGAAUAUGGGGGGACCAUCCUCCAAGGCUAAAUACUCCUGACUGACCGAUAGUGAACCAGUACCGUGAGGGAAAGGCGAAAAGAACCCCGGCGAGGGGAGUGAAAAAGAACCUGAAACCGUGUACGUACAAGCAGUGGGAGCACCUUCGGGUGUGACUGCGUACCUUUUGUAUAAUGGGUCAGCGACUUAUAUUCUGUAGCAAGGUUAACCGUAUAGGGGAGCCGCAGGGAAACCGAGUCUUAACUGGGCGUUAAGUUGCAGGGUAUAGACCCGAAACCCGGUGAUCUAGCCAUGGGCAGGUUGAAGGUUGGGUAACACUAACUGGAGGACCGAACCGACUAAUGUUGAAAAAUUAGCGGAUGACUUGUGGCUGGGGGUGAAAGGCCAAUCAAACCGGGAGAUAGCUGGUUCUCCCCGAAAGCUAUUUAGGUAGCGCCUCGUGAACUCAUCUUCGGGGGUAGAGCACUGUUUCGGCUAGGGGGUCAUCCCGACUUACCAACCCGAUGCAAACUACGAAUACCGAAGAAUGUUAUCACGGGAGACACACGGCGGGUGCUAACGUCCGUCGUGAAGAGGGAAACAACCCAGACCGCCAGCUAAGGUCCCAAAGUCAUGGUUAAGUGGGAAACGAUGUGGGAAGGCACAGACAGCCAGGAUGUUGGCUUAGAAGCAGCCAUCAUUUAAAGAAAGCGUAAUAGCUCACUGGUCGAGUCGGCCUGCGCGGAAGAUGUAACGGGGCUAAACCAUGCACCGAAGCUGCGGCAGCGACACUAUGUGUUGUUGGGUAGGGGAGCGUUCUGUAAGCCUGCGAAGGUGUGCUGUGAGGCAUGCUGGAGGUAUCAGAAGUGCGAAUGCUGACAUAAGUAACGAUAAAGCGGGUGAAAAGCCCGCUCGCCGGAAGACCAAGGGUUCCUGUCCAACGUUAAUCGGGGCAGGGUGAGUCGACCCCUAAGGCGAGGCCGAAAGGCGUAGUCGAUGGGAAACAGGUUAAUAUUCCUGUACUUGGUGUUACUGCGAAGGGGGGACGGAGAAGGCUAUGUUAGCCGGGCGACGGUUGUCCCGGUUUAAGCAUGUAGGCUGGUUGUCCAGGCAAAUCCGGAUAAUCAAGGCUGAGGUGUGAUGACGAGGCACUACGGUGCUGAAGUAACAAAUGCCCUGCUUCCAGGAAAAGCCUCUAAGCAUCAGGUAACAUCAAAUCGUACCCCAAACCGACACAGGUGGUCAGGUAGAGAAUACCAAGGCGCUUGAGAGAACUCGGGUGAAGGAACUAGGCAAAAUGGUGCCGUAACUUCGGGAGAAGGCACGCUGGUGUGUAGGUGAAGCCCCUGCGGGUGGAGCUGAGACCAGUCGAAGAUACCAGCUGGCUGCAACUGUUUAUUAAAAACACAGCACUGUGCAAACACGAAAGUGGACGUAUACGGUGUGACGCCUGCCCGGUGCCGGAAGGUUAAUUGAUGGGGUUAUCCGUAAGGAGAAGCUCUUGAUCGAAGCCCCGGUAAACGGCGGCCGUAACUAUAACGGUCCUAAGGUAGCGAAAUUCCUUGUCGGGUAAGUUCCGACCUGCACGAAUGGCGUAAUGAUGGCCAGGCUGUCUCCACCCGAGACUCAGUGAAAUUGAACUCGCUGUGAAGAUGCAGUGUACCCGCGGCAAGACGGAAAGACCCCGUGAACCUUUACUAUAGCUUGACACUGAACAUUGAGCCUUGAUGUGUAGGAUAGGUGGGAGGCUUUGAAGCGUGGACGCCAGUCUGCGUGGAGCCAACCUUGAAAUACCACCCUUUAAUGUUUGAUGUUCUAACGUUGGCCCCUGACCGGGGUUGCGGACAGUGUCUGGUGGGUAGUUUGACUGGGGCGGUCUCCUCCCAAAGCGUAACGGAGGAGCACGAAGGUUAGCUAAUCCUGGUCGGACAUCAGGAGGUUAGUGCAAUGGCAUAAGCUAGCUUGACUGCGAGCGUGACGGCGCGAGCAGGUGCGAAAGCAGGUCAUAGUGAUCCGGUGGUUCUGAAUGGAAGGGCCAUCGCUCAACGGAUAAAAGGUACUCCGGGGAUAACAGGCUGAUACCGCCCAAGAGUUCAUAUCGACGGCGGUGUUUGGCACCUCGAUGUCGGCUCAUCACAUCCUGGGGCUGAAGUAGGUCCCAAGGGUAUGGCUGUUCGCCAUUUAAAGUGGUACGCGAGCUGGGUUUAGAACGUCGUGAGACAGUUCGGUCCCUAUCUGCCGUGGGCGCUGGAGAAUUGAGGGGGGCUGCUCCUAGUACGAGAGGACCGGAGUGGACGCAUCACUGGUGUUCGGGUUGUCAUGCCAAUGGCACUGCCCGGUAGCUAAAUGCGGAAGAGAUAAGUGCUGAAAGCAUCUAAGCACGAAACUUGCCCCGAGAUGAGUUCUCCCUGAGACUUUAAGUCUCCUGAAGGAACGUUGAAGACGACGACGUUGAUAGGCCGGGUGUGUAAGCGCAGCGAUGCGUUGAGCUAACCGGUACUAAUGAACCGUGAGGCUUAACCUU
Molecule: ribosomal RNA, 2902 nt
Filed under: Klebsiella pneumoniae
Lineage: Bacteria; Pseudomonadati; Pseudomonadota; Gammaproteobacteria; Enterobacterales; Enterobacteriaceae
Description: 23S ribosomal RNA
Rfam family: Bacterial large subunit ribosomal RNA
Source: RNAcentral